Molecule: ribosomal RNA, 263 nt
Filed under: uncultured archaeon
Lineage: Archaea
Description: partial 16S ribosomal RNA
Rfam family: Archaeal small subunit ribosomal RNA
Source: RNAcentral
CAGCCGUAAACUAUGCGCGUUAGGUGUAUCGGUGACCACGAGUUACCGAGGUGCCGAAGGGAAACCGUGAAACGUGCCGCCUGGGAAGUACGGUCGCAAGGCUGAAACUUAAAGGAAUUGGCGGGGGGAGCACCACAACAGGUGGAGCCUGCGGUUUAAUUUGGACUCAACGCCGGGAAGCUCACCGGAUAGGACAGCAGAAUGAUUGCCGGGCUGAAGACCCUGCAUGACUAGCUGAGAGGAGGUGCAUGGCGUAGACGUCU